UUUUAUUAUUUCAUAAUAUGCAGAAAAAUAUAAAAUAAGUAUUUAUUUUGCACAAGACGUAGAUCUUAACCUAAGUAUGUAUUUCUGUAAUAAUUUUGAAUCUUAAACAUUUUCUAAAUCUCUGGCCAAAAAAAAAAAAAAAUGAGAAUAAACUCAAAAAUCAAUAUUUAUAUCGAGCAAUAACUAAAAUGACAUAAAAAGGAAAAAAAUAUCGAAGAUAGAUAGAAUUGUCACGUGAACGUAAACUUCUCAUAACCAUAAUUAACUUUUAAAUUGCUAAAUCAUGAUAUAAAACCGAGCUGACAUAGUUUCAUUGUAACCAAAUCGUAGGCAUGAGAUUCUUCGGCUUAACAUUAAGUUUUUAUGCGAUAAAUAAUUUUUUGACCUAAAAUAUUUUUAUAAAUGGGAUCAGUUUAUUAGUAAACAAAUUAUGUAAUUAACAAAAAAGGUUUUUAAAAAAAUUGUUUAAGGACCAAAUAUAUUAAUUCGAUCAAUAAUGUAAAUUUUUUUUCAUACGAUAUUUCUUAAAUAGUUUUUAUAUAAAUUUACACGGUUAUCCUAGUACCUAUUGUAACCAGAACUAUAACCUUCAAAUUAUAUAAAUAAAUAAUUUUUGAAGUCGUUAUCAAUUCAGAAAUACAAUAAACGAAUUUUAGCCAGGAAAAUGAGAUAAUCUAAUUGACUUGGAAAUAAAGAGAAUCUUAGAGUAUAUAGUUUUCUUUAUUUUUGAUGAUUUUGUAAGAAUUACUAUACAAAAACAUUUAAAAUUUCUGUUUUGCCUGAUACCUUUCCACUUCGUAUUGUUUUACUCCAACCUUUGAUUUAUGACUUAUUGGACCUAAAUUUCUAGGACAUGGUUUACACCUCAUUAGAAAACCCCUAAAUUUCUUAGUUUGACCAUCUUUAGACCAUCUUCAAGAAUUUUUUUUGAAUAAAUAAAAUUAAUAGUUUAUUCUUGGUAAAUCUGAAAUCUAAUAAAAAUAGUAGAUUUUUCUGUAAAAUUUUCAUCAUCUCAGUUGUUCUUCUUAAGGGAGUAUUCGAAGAAAGUAGUUUAUACUUUCAUGAUGGAUGAAGCUAAUAACUAAAACUCAAUCAAAACUCAUUUCAAAUUGUCGUCAGUCAAACGUAGAGACAGUGCAUUUAUACUGAGAGCAUCUCUAUUGCUCAGGUUUUCCAUGAAUCAUAUAAUCUAUAUUAUAAUAGAAGAGUUUUUACUCUCUUCUAAGCAUGUCCACGUGUGCAGCUUUGUGGGCUUCACUUUAUUUUUAUUUUUGGUUUUGUCGUAAAAGAUUAUUUGAUUAUCCAACGAAACUGUGCGUUUUGGCUUCCAGUUGGUUACGGUUUUCUGUGUUUUUGUUCUUCGACUCUUCUUCAACCUCUCCGUAUCUUUCAACUUUCUCUGCGAACAUAUAUUUUAUCCUGUCAUCUCUUCACCUCCCUUAACGCUCAAUGAGGUUCAACAUAUCCUACUAAAUUCUCCCGAUUAAUGUGAUACACAUUAAAAGCAAUUACAUUCUCGACCUCUCUGUUUUCUUUCUUUUAUCAAACACAAAUUGACUCUUUGAGUUUCCAUGAAGCAGUGUGUGUUUCUCUACCUUUACAUAAGUCUUCCUUAUAUAUGCUUGAUCUUAAACAUUGGAGCCCUGUGAAUUGGUAAAUAGCAGAACGAUAAGAGCGGCUUGGUCUGCGCGUGAGCAGUAAGGUGAUUCUCACUGCCUUCUUUCAAUGACGACAAAGAGGAACUUUAAGGAAAUCUCCAUUGCUGCCGCUUCCUCACCGAUGAACAACGGUUACACAAGCCGGAAGCUAACGGAGGAAGCGUAUGCGCAGCAAAAGGAAGUUGAGGCUGAAGAAAACGCCGAGAAUAUCUCCAUGAGCGCCUUCUUCAAGCUAUCAUUGCAUGAGUUGGAAGAUGUUACUGAUGAUGUUGAUGAGAUUGAGAUCCAAAGCCAACUUGAUUACCAUGAUAUGGCCUGUAGUGAGAAAGAAGAGAAGUUGUUACUAGAUGCAUUCUUUGAUCGAUGAGCAUAUCCGAUCUGUUCAAUCUAACUUCCAGAAGAUCAAAAAGGAGAAAGACAAGCAGCGAAAUGAUGAUGCAUUAAGACACUAAGCAAGGAGCUAUCACAACCAAUAGAGACCAAAAUCUGCCGUUAAGGCCGUGUUCGGACGGGUCGAGUGAUACUGCUGUGGAGUCACGCAAGAAAUCAGGUAUGCAAAUGUCAAAACACAUAAACGUCAUGUGAGAACUAGACUUUACUUCACAUAUGUGUGUGUGAUUGAGAGUGAAACGGCGUUGAUGGAACAGGAAUCGCAUAUUCAUUCGCUGAUGAACGUACUUAGAUACUGCAACAUGGACGAAUCACUUCAAGGAGAGGAGAGUCUCAUCUCCCAAAACGCAUUGUUUAGUUUUUUUGCAACACUGGAGUGGGCUUUACUUGGAUUCUAUGUGUUUUUGGUCUCUUUCAUGAUGUAGGUCUGCUUCCUGAUAUCGUCCAAAUCAUUGUUUCACGUCUAGGGUUGCUUUCAUCCUCUAAUAAAAUUAAUGUAGUUGGGGUAUGCAAAGAUGUCUCGGCAAUUUCUGUUUGCGAGAACCUCAGUUAGAUCACAGAGCUUAUGAAAUAAGAGAGUUUGUAGAUUCAUCAAUUUCCAGUUAUAUUCUAGAAUAAGGAGGAGUGGGAUGAUGAUACUGGCUGUUUUAUGGAGCUCCAAACAGAUGAAGACCGGCGAUGGUGAUUGUAGAAGAUGACCGGAGACCUCGCCGUUCACCUGCAAUACACAAUUCGAGAAGCUGUUUCAUCUUCUCUUUCAUGAAGCCACGUGUGUGGUCUUUUUGUGUAACCUCACCUUAACCAAAAUCAAAGUAUGUAACCAACUCUCACAACUACAGUUUCCCACGAGCUUUAUUUUCCUAUUACUCCCAUUAAAAUAAAAAACAAACGCAGGCACACCAUUUACAGAACUUCUCCCGAGCGAGAGAAAGGCAACAACAUACCGUUCACUCACCUUUUCUUAUUAAUUCAGUUUACAUGCCCAACCACAACAGACCAAUACUUUUUUGUCUUUAUGGCAAAAACAUUACUUCAUUUCAUACAUAGUAAAUCCCAAAGUACUGAAUUUUUUUUUCUUUUUUUUUUUGAGAAAGGGCUUUUUAUACUGAAAAUUUUCCCACAAACUACUACUAUUAAUAAUUUUGAUAUGGCAAACUUUUUUUUGAUCAACUGAUAUGACAACUUCUGUUGUCCAUGUUACCAAAAUUUAGGAUUUUGUAAGCCAAUACAACAAAAGAGGAGAAAAUCUUUUUUCUUUUUCUGGGCAAAAGAGGAGAAAGUCUUAACCCAUAUUUGACAAUAUAUGCUACAAAGUAUAAAGAACCAUUAUAACAAGAAAAGAACAAAGACUUUGCUGAACUACUCAUUACUAUAACAAUAUUUAGCGGAGAAGUAUAUAUCAAAUAGAACAUAUAGAAAUUCACUAAACUCAACCUACGAAAAUAUUUAUUUAUCUGCAUUAUACUUGACUGUAUUAUCUCGCUAAACUCAAUGUGCCGUCACGGUUGAAUCAUUCUCUCUCUCUAUCGCACUCUACAUAGAACUGUUUGUCAUGAUGCAUUGAUCUCGGAAUUGGAUUGUUUAUCUCUACUACAGCGUCUUCUCCCCAGAACAUGCUAGCGCAACAUCUUACCCUACCAUAAAUCUAAUAAAAUUACAAAUAUUCACAUGCGCAAGAUCACUUCAUAUCACAACAUCUCCAAUUAUUUAUAUAAAGCAACAAUUCCGUUAACGACCCGAUACACACCUAAUACAUACAAUAAUAAAUAAAUAAAAGAGAGAUAUGCUCAAAAGAGAAAGUGUCCACAUAAGAUUUAAAAAUCAGCCAAUCAUAAUACAGUAGAAAAUACUGUUGUUCACCGUAUAUACGGCCAUACCAGCCGUGUGUUUAGAACACUUCUUAAAUGCAAAUUAUAUAAUUAACUUAACCUGAUAAAUAUAUUUUCUAAAAACAUAGUUUUUUUUUUAACGCUGGAUUGUAUUAUUAAGUCUUAUAGUCAAAAAGUUCUAAACAAUGAGAAUUAUCAAAACAAAAGAGUAGAAAAGGGAUACACCAAUAGAGAUCCAAAGUAAACUAACAACACAUCUUACGUAUGGAUAACUAAAGAUUUUCAUAUAAAAAUUUCAUAUUGCUUUUGGAGAAGCUGAAUCUCAAAAGAGAUAAUCUUCGUAUUAAUCCAAAAACACCACGCUUCAGAAUGAAUUGAGAACGAUUGUCACUCUCUUUUUAAUACUCCAGUAGGAGCCACUGAGAUAAGACAACUCUUUAUAUUGCUCUACUGAUAAUAAUAGAGUCAAAGAGAUUACCGUUCCAUAGAAUUUGAUGCUGCUUUUUAAAGUAACCAUAGUUUGCAGCAAGAAGUCCAUCACUGUCACAUGAAGAACCAUCAACGAUUGAAGCCGGUAAGAUCCGUCGCCACCAUCCGCAGUAGAUCUGUCAAUUAACUUUUCUAAACGGUUCAAUUGAACCGAAACUUUUAUCUCUCCAAAUUCAUUGGAAGAAGCAUACAAAAGAAUAAUAAAAAACUUUGCCAGAUUUAAAACAAAUUGACAAUCAAACAAACCAAGUAACGAUGAGUAAAUCAAAUCAAAGAAAGAGAAGCAGAACGAAUCAAACAAGCCGAUAACGGAGCUAUAGAAGCCUCCCGCCAUCGGCUUGAAACUAUAAAAAAAUCUUUUUUUUCUUUCUCGACGGCUAGGGUUUUCUUCCUAAAAAAAAAAAAAAAA
Brassica rapa (field mustard) is the source of this 4775-nucleotide long non-coding RNA. RefSeq lists it as uncharacterized. Lineage: Eukaryota; Viridiplantae; Streptophyta; Magnoliopsida; Brassicales; Brassicaceae. The record is from RefSeq and is a predicted model, not a curated record.